Molecule: long non-coding RNA, 1080 nt
Filed under: Agrilus planipennis (emerald ash borer)
Lineage: Eukaryota; Metazoa; Arthropoda; Insecta; Coleoptera; Buprestidae
Description: uncharacterized LOC108736401, transcript variant X3
Source: RNAcentral
AUUGAUUUUAUCGCGCAUCUAUGGUAUUUCAAUAAUUAUCUAUUGUCUUAAUCGUUAUUGACAUCGCGCAUCUAUGAUUAUUUCAUAUUUAUCUGUCAACUAUGUUUGACAUUUGUCGCCAUUUUAUAUUAUUCAGGUUUUUUACUUGCUUUUUGGUGCGUGUUUUAAGUGUGUUUAAUCUCUUUUCGUUAAUUAAAAGUUUAAUUGAUAUGUCUUUUUCCAUUUCUGCAGGUUAUCUAACGAGUGAGAGAGAAUUAAUGUUCAGUUUGGUCAUACUGAAACAGCCAAUGUCUACAUGGGCGUUGUCUUUCGUGGAAAUGCAUUUUGAUACUACUGAAAAAAUAAGUUGUCUCCUUCCUAUGAUGUUUUAUCUGUUACCUUUCCAUCUUGAAGACUCUUAUAGUUAGCCGAUUAAGAAUUUAUUCUACAAGAACAUUAGAAGAACUCAAGAUACCAUUAACUUAUGGAGCACUGGUUGUAUUAGUCCUCAUUUGCUAUAGAAAGUAGCUGUACCUAUGGUCCUAAGGAAAGCAUGAAAGUGCCUUUUUUGCAUUGGGAGAGGAGACAUAAGACAUUUAUAACUUGCUUCAGUAAACAACUUUUAAACUGAACAGUAGGAUUAAUGUGGAACUGAUCUUUUUAUCAGUGUGAAUGUUGCUAAUUUACUUGUUUUAAAAGUGGUAAUUAAUAAACCUUUUUCUUGCGUGGUUCUAUAGCUCACCAAUAACUGAGAAGGAAUUAAUUCUGGUGAUAUUAAAACAACCGACGCUUUUGAUGUGUUCACCUUGCAGCAUUAAGUACUUAAUUUUGGUUUUGAGAAUAGGAGACAAUUGUACAUUAAUUCGGAAGCUACUGGAAGGGCAAAUUAUCUUCAGUGGUUUGUAGAUUUGGUUUGCCCAUCGUACUGGUAGACUUUAGAAUGCUACUUUCUACAAUUCAUUCAGUAUGAAUUGAGGUUAUUCUGCAUCUGUACCUCUUAACCAUCCACGUCUACUAAUGGACGGCCUUACCGGUCAGAAUUGUGGUACAACGAAAGUUUCGGACAAUAUCGAUAUAUCGAUCUCUCUCACGAUAGUGCGU